Molecule: long non-coding RNA, 2974 nt
Filed under: Nicotiana tabacum (common tobacco)
Lineage: Eukaryota; Viridiplantae; Streptophyta; Magnoliopsida; Solanales; Solanaceae
Description: long non-coding RNA (NTAB_LNC018531)
Source: RNAcentral
CCUAAUUUCUACCCUUAUAUAAUAGUACCUAAUUCUUAAAUGAGAGACCUACACCCUAAAUAUUGAAUUUGCCAUUUGUUUCCCGAAAGAUAAAAGAAAAGCUUGAACGGAAAAAUACAAAAAGAAAGCAAAUAAUAGACUAAUGCCAAAACAGCAAAAGGGCGGCCGCACUUCAACCUACAGAGACCCCUAUUGUCCUUUUCCUUUAAAAAAAGUAUCAAAAAAAAUUGUCGACUCUUUGCACAAUGCCAUAAAAGAUUCUCCAAAUUUUGCCAACUAAUGUCUUCUCAUUUUUUUACAAACAUUGCAAGCCUCCACUUCAAUAUAUAAUACCACAUCGUCAGAUAGAAAAGAAAAGAAAAUGAUAGCUCAGCUUUCAUGGUCGUUCAAGUGACGAUUCAGUUUAGCUAGAAUUUCAAUUUAGGUUUCAAGCUUUUCGGUGCCGACUCGAGGUUGCCGAUAGGGUUCGCGGUCUAAGCUCCUGCUACUGUUGCAUUUUCCGGUCAGAUUGAGUUCGCCGGAGUAUGUUGUAACUGAGUUCUUGUUAAUAUUAUUAAGGUCUGAUUCUAAACUCUUCCUUUUCGUCAUUUCUCAUGUGAGUAUUUUGUGUUUUAUUUUUAAUCAUGCUUUAAUCGUUGUAUCCAUGAUUAAGUUUUUAAUUCCUCUAGUCUUCUGUUCUCUUAUGCUUGUUUGAGUUGGGAUUUUUAUUUGAAUUUUCAAUUGAAAACAAUUUAUAGAUUUUGUCUUAUGACUGUUGGACCAUUAAUCCACCACUAAGUUUUCUUAACAAAAAUAAGGCACUAAGGAUUUUGGAGUUGUGCGAGACAUGGAAAUUUCAAAUAGCUUUUCUGGUUUUGGUCCAUGUUAAUAUGGAUUUUAGGCCUCUUUGUUUUCAUCUGGUUUAUUUGACUUGAAUGUUUGUGGCUGUAGUAAUUAUCUGGAAGAUAUAGCAUUAUGCAAAUGCAAAGAAUGUUAGAAUUUUUGUCAUUUUGAACGUGGGGUGGACAACAAGAAUGGAGAAAUUGAAUUUAUCAUUUUAAUUGUUUUACUUUACUUUCUCGUUCCGCUAGUAGCAUGUUUGAGCUGACCACACAUGCGUAGGCGAAAUUUUUGGAGCGUAAUAAAAUUGCCAUAGCUACGGGUACGGUUCCCGUAACGUAGUUGUGAUACGUAAUCCCCAAUUUGGGUGUGCAUUUCAUGUGACCUGAUUAUAACAACUUCGAAUAAUAAAACCCUUUGAAAUAAAUUGAGGCGUGCCAUGCUAAAUAAAACCCCUAAUCUCAUGAACCUCACAUAACUAAUUAGCUUUUAUAGAAAAUUUGAGGUGUGCCAUUUUAAUGAAAUAACCCAUGGUCCUCAUUUAAUUAAUAAUAACUCUUUUAAAACUGGGGUGUACCAUCAAUUGAAUUUUCCAUGGCCCUCGCAAACUUUGUUAUUAAUUUGAACUUUCGUAGUUGCUUUAGGCACGUUCUGUAAAUUGAUUUUCCUUUAAUUACUAAUUUCGGGUGCACAUUUUAUCUGACCCAAUUUCAAUUCUUAACAACGUUAAAUAGAACGUGUCGCGGGCCGUGGGUGCAUUUCAUGUGGCAUGGUUCAAGGUAUGUUUUAAAAAAUGUUGAAUCUUCCUAAAAGUAUUUUUAAAUAAUUAAAAGCGGUUAAUAAGUUAAAAAUGCACAAUAGGUUUAAAACAUGUAGUAAAUCAGUUAAUAGGCUAAUUAUAAUAGUUUAAGCGAUCGUGCUAGAACCAUGUAACCCGGGAAUGCCUAACACCUUCUCCCGGAUUAACAGAAUUCCUUACCGAGAUUUCUGUUUUCGCGGACUGUAAUACAGAGUCAACUUUUUCCUCGAUUCGGGAUUUAAAAUAAAGCGGUGACUUGGGACACCAUAAAUCAUCCCAAGUGGCGACUUUGAAUCUUCAAAUAAAUAAAUCCCGUUUCGAUUGUCACUUUAAGUUGGAAAAAACUCCCCUAUACCCUCCCUUCGGGUAAAAAGGAGGUGUGACAGAUAUUAUCACCCUUUAAAUUUGGAAAAGGCAUAUUUGCGGUAAAACCAGUCGAUCAACAGUGUAGUCGACGUUUCCAUGCCUUUCCCUCUUGAGUUGUCCGCUCAAGGGUACCAGUCUAAGACCCCGAUAGAAACUUUACUCUGUUUAACUGUGCAUGCAUCAUGGUCAAACCUAGCCGAGUCAGUUAUGUUGUCCGCAUAAUGACUCUUUAAGAUAGCCUUGUCCAAAGUCCACCGGGUUUUCCUGAACCCAAACGGACACCACCACGUUCUGUGCAUUUAUUUGGAGAACUAAAUGAUUUAUGCUAAUUGUUGAUGUUAAAUAGUUGAAUCUGGUAGGGUAGGGUCUUAACCCUUUUGUUUUGCAGAAAAUGAAGAACGAGGUUCCCAACUUUGGUAUGGUUAGCACGCCCCCACUCUUGCUAGACUAGUGGAGGAGUAUUUCAUCAAAUGACCAAAUCAACGAGUGGAAAGAGAGGGCCACUAAAGCUAGCGAAAAGUUGGAAUAUCUGGAGUAUAGUCUGCUGGAAUUGGAAGAAAAAGUGAGGAAGAGAGUCACUGACUGCCAGAACGCCGAGGGAAACGAAGGGGAACACCUGGCAAAGGCAUUUUUACUGGUGAACCUACGCGAACUGGAGGAUUUGAUCAACGAGAGCAUUCAAUCUGCGGAAGGUCCUUUUGGACCAAAUAGAUAGAAGAUUUUCUUUUCGCCUUAUAAAAUGUAAUAAGGCCAAUGGCCACUAGUGGCAUUUUAUUCCUUUUUAUUUAGUGUCGUUUUGGGAUUCGUCUACUUUUUAUCAAUAAAAUGAGGCAUUUAGCAUUCUAAGUUCUCCAAAUCAAUUUGUCGCUAGGCCUACCUCGGGAAAAAUGAGGCUCCCAAAUUAGGACACGAUUUACAUUCUUGCACUAUGUGUUUAAAUAUCGUAACACUUUCUUAUAAUCGCUACUGACUUGUUACCUUUUGUUUUUA